CGUUCAUUGAGAUUUGAAAGAGAAAAGUGGUUUCGUUUAUCAAUCAUGAGUUUCAUAACACUGUGGCAGGGUUGCAAUGCAUCUCUCUUAUAAUUUUUGCAUCCUUGGAAUAAGGGGAAGACUGUUCUUCUCAUAAGGUGGUUAGUGCCCAGCAAGCUGAAGACCUAAAAUUGAAGGAAAAGAGGAAGCGGGAACGAGAGAAAAAUUUGCCUAGAAAGAAGCACAGAAAGUUGAAACUAGAGAGAUGUUGGAGGAUGACGAGCAAGAUGACAAACCAAAAGGUGAGGGGACAAAUAGGAAUGAAAAGGAUUGACACAUGCUGAUCUUGCUUACCGACGUGCAAAAGCAGGAAAAGCCACCACCAAGAGGGCACUAGACUCUGGCAAGAUUUUGAAGAAGCCUCAAAAGAAAUCUAAUAUAUCUAAUCCUUCGCGAAAGACUUCCUCUUCAAGGACAGAAGAAAUGCAAAGAGAGGUUCUGGAACAGGAAAGAAGGCGAAGAAGUCAUUCAAAAGCAAGUCAAGGAAUUUUGAGAGGAAGAGAGGGAUCGUGAGAGGGUGACUUGAGAUUUGAAGGAGGUGAUCUGAGAUACUACAUUUUACGUUGACAUAGAAGAGAGGGUGUGAAAGGCACAAGUUAGUUGGAAAAAUUUGCAGUUGACAUAGAAGAGAGGGUGUGAAAGGCACAAGUUAGUUGGAAAAAUUUGCAUAGAAAGAAGCGUAGAAAGUUGGAAGCGGCUAGAGAGAUGUUGGAGGAUGACGAGCAAGAUGACAAACCAAAAGGUGAGGGGACAGAUAAGAAUGAAAAGGCUGGAUUGUCACAUGCUGAUCUUGCUUACCGACCUGCAAACGCAGGAAAGGCCACCACCAAGAUGGCACUAGACUCUGACAAGAUUUUGAAGAAGCCUCAAAAGAAAUCUAAUAAAUCUAAUCCUUUGCGAAAGCCUUCCUCUUCAAGGACAGAAGAAAUACGGGAGUUAUUCCAGACGAAGGAUAAAAAGCCAUAAUAGAGAGGUUCUGGAACAGGAAAGAAGGCGAAGAAGUCAUUCAAUAGCAAGUCACGAAAGACAAGACUUCAAUUUGAAGGAAUUUUAAGAGGAAGAGAGGGAUUGAAAGAGGGUGACUUGAGAUUUGAAAGAGGUUAUCUGAGAUACUACAUUUUACGAAAAGUGGUUUUGUUUAUCAAUCACAAGUUUCAUAACACUGGCAGGGUUGCAAAGCAGCUCUCUUGUAAUUUUUAAAGAGACUUCUCAGGUAUUUCCACUUCUCUAGUUCUUGAUGUUAUUGCUUAUUUUUCUUCAUCUGGCACUGGCAUAUCUGAGUUAUGACCCAAACUUUACUGACAACAUGGAGGAGGAUACUGAUGAUGAAGGUCAUGAAGAGGAGGAGGAUGAGUAUGUGGCUAUGUGGUUAUUGCCUAUGAUGAAGAUGCCAGCUGGAAAGUUCGCAGAGCAGCAGCUAAAUGCUUAGCUGCAUUGAUGGUUUCUCGUCCUGAGUUGCUUUCAUAGCUGUAUGAUGAGGCUUGUCCAAAACUGAUUGACAGAUUUAAAUAGAUAGAAGAGAAUGUCAAGGUAGGUUAGGCUUUUUUUUUUUGUCUUUUAUGAUCGAAGAUUGUUUAUCUGACAUAUGAAUAUGUUGCAUAUGGAUGUAUUUAAUACGUUCAUUGAGCUCUUGCGUCAAUCUGGAAAUGUCACAAAAGGGCAGACUGAUGUAAAAGAAACGAGGCAAGUGGCUUCUGCUUUUCUUAUGUGAAAUCCUAACUGGUUGUUGAAGCAAGAACUGUCAGAGAUUGUCAAGUCUAUCAGUAGGUAGUUGCGUGAGAAAUCCAUCAAAACAAAGGUAGUUAAAUAUAUAACCAAAAAAAAAGGGUGGUGCCUUUUCUGUUUUGAAAGAACUCGUUGUUGUCUUGCCCAACUGUCUUGCAGACCACAUUGGGUCACUCAUUCCUGGAAUUGAAAAAGCAUUAAAUGACAAAUUGUCUACCUCAAAUUUGAAGAUCGAAGCGCUGAUAUUUACAAGAUUGGUAUUAUCUUCGCAUUCUCCUGAUGUAUUCCACCCUUAUAUCAAGGAAACGGGAAGAUAGAGCAUGGUUGAGAUUUCCCAAAAAUGAUAAGAGAUAGAAUUUGUUAUCGAAUAAUCAGGAGAGCAUGGUUGAGAUUUCCCAAAAAUGAUAAGAGAUAGAAUUUGUUAUCGAAUAAUCAGGUGACUAUAUCCAAACAAACCCAUUCAUUCUCUUUAAUUUAAUAUUUUCUAAUGUUUUCUAAUGUUGAAUAUUAAUUGAAUAUUCAUUCUCUUUAAUUGAAUAUUUUCUAAUGUUGUCUCCUAAUUAAUAUUCACAUUUUUUUAAUUAUGAAUUUGGGGAUCUUUGAUUUUGUUUUUAUGAAAUAUAUGGUGACUAAACCCGUUCCUGGGAGUCAAGGAGAGCAUGGUGUUAUUGGAUCAGCGAGAAGAAUUCCUUUAAAUGAUAUUGCAUAGGGAAAUAUACAGUACAUAAUGGUACAUUUAUUCAUCGUGCAAGAUGUUCACUAAGAGCUUCGUUUAGGCGGAAUGUGGAAUCUAUCAAACCACGUCAUAUUGCAUUCUAAGGCUCAACUACAGCAUGCCUGAUGAGGAAAAUUCUGCAAGUAAUUGAGUUACGCGUUUCAAAUCAAGCAGAAAGCAAGGAAAGUCAAAACCAUAUUUUCAAGGCACAUGAGGGGAAGUACCAAACAGAAAUAAAUGCACUUGAAAACUUGGUGGUAGGGACAACCGAAGGGAAUGAGCUUACUCCCGCCGCACCGUGUAACUGCAAAAUUCUGUUCCUCGUGCGCCGAGAGAUGGUGGACUCAACAAUGGAAACCCUAGACUCAAAACCACUGUCUCCUUUAACAACCACCGAUUGCAAACCUCAAAUCUCUUCUCCACUUCCCUGUUCCAUGUUCGCCGUAGGGUUGCACUUCUAUCUCUCUUUCUCCGAUACAUUCCAUUCUCCGAUAUUCCCUAACUAACUAACUAACAACAUUCCACAUUACUCAUACAACAAUAGUGCCACUGCAAACAUGGCCAACCUAGCUUUGCCCGGGAUACUUGGAAAGACACAGAUGAUUGGGAAGGAUAAAGAUCAGAGAUAAAUGGUCACUUCUGAUCUGGUUAGUCAGUUGACCAAACCCACUUUUAGGGCCGAUUCUGAUCUCGAACUUAAAUUGAAAAAUAUCAUCAUACAACAACUUGACAUGCUGCUAGUGAUGUUUCUGGACUUGCUGUCAAAUGCCUUGCUCCGUUAGUCAGGAAGAUGAAUGAGCCAAGGGUUGUCGAAAUGAGCAGUCAACUGUGUGACAAAAUACUUAACGUGAAGGAUCAACAUCGGGACACUGCUAGCAUUGCUUUGAAGACAGUUGUUGCUGAAUGCUGAAGUUUCUACCCAAUCCCUUGCACAAUCUAAUCCUUCCAUUCUCUCACCACAGUUGAUAAAAGGAAUUACUGGCAAAUUUAUAUUUUUGGACGGCUCUUGGCAAUUUCUACUGGGAACACAAUGCCAGCAGCAGCGGAAGACACAAUGAUGGUACUGAAGAUGCUGGCCUUGUUGGUCAUAUAUUCAUCUAAAUGAGUCAACCUAUAAAAAGUGCGAGCCACUUCUCAUCUUCACGUGCGCAAAAUCAUUUUGAGCAGCAAAUGCACAUACACUUACAACUCAGGUAUACUGCAGAAGAGAAGUGCUGAUUGUUGCACUAAGAAAAGGGACAAUGAUUUGCACCGGUUACUUUUUAUGCCUUAUGGCCUACCAGACGGUGCUGAGUUGGCUUACUAUGUCAAAGGACAGUUUUCUUGAUAUAAGCCCUUCACAGUUUGAAGCCCAUGCUGGAAUGGCGGCUAGGCGUCAACCCCUGCUUAGGAUUGCAGUGUACCAGAUAGUGGUUGGCAUUGUCUAAAUUGUAACGAUAAUACUAGUGAUGGAAGACGUGUGAGGCCAAUCAUGAUUCGGUUGACACGGGUUGAUAAAGAACCAGAAUAUGAAAUGGGUGGAUGUGUUGUUUGCAGACUUGGUGGCCAAGGACUACGAAACAGAUCGAAGUUGAUUUAAAUUUCACAAAUUUCUUGGGAAAACACUUCCAGAUAUCUUUGCUCCUCCCAAGAAUCAUAAAUCGUUAUUACUCCCUGAAAAUAGACCUGUUUGUGUUACAAAACUCCCAGAGGACUGCCACUAUGAGCUAGAGGUGAAGAUUUGUGGCGGUAAAUUCAAUUUCCAAAUGUCCUAACUGGUUGUUGAAGCAAGAACUGUCAGAGAUUGUCAAGUCUAUCAGUAGGUAGUUGCGUGAGAAAUCCAUCAAAACAAAGGUUGGUGCCUUUUCUGUUUUGAAAGAACUAGUUGUCUUGCCCUACUGUCUUGCAGACCACAUUGGGUCACUCAUUCCUGGAAUUGAAAAGCAUUAAAUGACAAAUUAUCUACCUCAAAUUUGAAGAACAAAGCCCUGAUAUUUACAAGAUUGGUAUUAUCUUCGCAUUCUCCUUAUGUAUUCCACCCUUAUAUCAAGAAGAGAGGGUGUGAAAGGCACAAGUUACUUGGCUUCAAUAUUUGAUGAUCCAAUACUUGAAAGCAAUUGCAAUUAUAAGUGCAGUCCGCAGAUCCAUGUCCUUUGCAACUUCUUUGAUUGGUUGAGAAAUUCUUCUUUUGAAGUCCGCAGAUCCAUGUCCUUUGCAACUUCUUUGAUUGGUUGAGAAAUUCUUCUUUUGAAGGACUAUGAAAUUGGUGAUGGUACUACUGGAGUUGUUGUGUUGGCUGGAUCUCUUACAGGUUGGAGGUUUUGUAUGAGAAACUACUCAUGAUGAUGACUGGAAAUCUACAUAAUGCCAAGACUUUUGUAGUGGCUUUAACCAUAUGCUUGACCAUAAAUAUAUCGUUGUUUUCUGGAACGCAGCACAUUGAACAAUUCUUCAGUCAAAUUGUUACAACACAUGGCUCUGCAAAGAAUUUGCCUUGAUCAUGCACUUCAAGACUCAGUCCAAGGCUGGCAUCCUUGGAAUAAGGGGAAGACUGUUCUUCUCAUAAGGUGGUUAGUGCCCAGCAAGCUGAAGACCUAAAAUUGUAGGAAAAGAGGAAGCGGGAACGAGAGAAAAAUUUGCCUAGAAAGAAGCACAGAAAGUUGGAACUUGAGCGAUGUUGGAGGAUGACAAGCAAGAUGACAAACCAAAAGGUGAGGGGACAGAUAUGAAUGAAAAGGAUUGACACAUGCUGAUCUUGCUUACCGACGUGCAAAAGACGGAAAAGCCACCACAAAGAGGGCAACUAGACUCUGGCAAGAUUUUGAAGAAGCCUCAAAAGAAAUCUAAUAUAUCUAAUCCUUCGCGAAAGACUUCCUCUUCAAGGACAGAAGAAAUGCAAAGAGAGGUUCUGGAACAGGAAAGAAGGCGAAGAAGUCAUUCAAAAGCAAGUCAAGUUCGGUUGCUGAAAAUUUAGAAAACGAGACUUCAAUUUGAAGGAAUUUUGAGAGGAAGAGAGAGAUCGUGAGAGGGUAACUUGAGAUUUGAAGGAGGUGAUCUGAGAUACUACAUUUUACGAAAAGUGGUUUCGUUUAUCAAUCAUGAGUUUCAUAACACUGUGGCAGGGUUGCAAUGCAUCUCUCUUAUAAUUUUUGCAUCCUUGGAAUAAGGGGAAGACUGUUCUUCUCAUAAGGUAGUUAGUGCCCAGCAAGCUGAAGACCUAAAAUUGAAGGAAAAGAGGAAGCGGGAAUGAGAGAAAAAUUUGCCUAGAAAGAAGCACAGAAAGUUGGAACUAGAGAGAUGUUGGAGGAUGACGAGCAAGAUGACAAACCAAAAGGUGAGGGGACAGAUAAGAAUGAAAAGGAUUGACACAUGCUGAUCUUGCUUACCGACGUGCAAAAGCAGGAAAAACCACCACAAAGAGGGCACUAGACUCUGGCAAGAUUUUGAAGAAGCCUCAAAAGAAAUCUAAUAUAUCUAAUCCUUCGCGAAAUGCAAAGAGAGGUUCUGGAACAGGAAAGAAGGCAAAGAAGUCAUUCAAAAGCAAGUCAUGGUAUCACUUAAAAAUCUAUCUCAUUUUUUAAACUCUUAUCUGAUCCUUUUAGGCAUUGAUAAAAAUAUUAAUUUCGUUCUUGGUCAUCUUAUAAAAAUGUCUUUUGUUUCUGUGAUGGGAUUGAUGUGGAGUUGUGGACUGAGGCUUUCUAGGGGGCAACUUAACAAAUAAUGAUAUAAUCCUUUUCAUUUUCUUGAUGCUAAAAAAAAGUCUAAACAUUUUUACUUCAAUCCUCCAUAACUCUCGCAGGUAUUUAUGUGCGUAUAGUAACUAUGAUGUUCAUAGUUGUAGUUUGCCUGUGUUUUGGGUUUUAUUUUUGUCUGUCCCCAUAUACUACCAAGGUGAUGCUGCUCUAUUUUCCAACUUUACCCUUUUUUCAAAAUUCAAAUACUUUCAUAUACCCCUCCAAUCAAAACAACAUCCCGCGUAACAUAGUAACCUCUUGGCAGCGGUUUCCUUCCCUUUAUUUCUCCAAUUCUCCAACUGCUAUUUUCUUCUUAUUUUCUUGAAAGUUCGGUUGCUGAAAAUUUAGAAAGACGAAACUUCAAUUUGAAGGAAUUUUGAGAGGAUGAGAGGGAUCGUGAGAGGGUGACUUGAGAUUUGAAGGAGGUGAUCUGAGAUACUACAUUUUACGAAAAGUGGUUUCGUUUAUCAAUCAUGAGUUUCAUAACACUGUGGCAGGGUUGCAAUGCAUCUCUCUUAUAAUUUUUUUGGUUCUUCAUCUUUGAAAAAAACCAGCAAAAUCA
Molecule: RNA transcript, 6754 nt
Organism: Trifolium pratense (red clover)
Lineage: Eukaryota; Viridiplantae; Streptophyta; Magnoliopsida; Fabales; Fabaceae
Gene name: serine/threonine-protein kinase ATM-like
Exons: 54
Source: RefSeq, a predicted model, not a curated record